RNAcentral lists this ribosomal RNA (460 nucleotides) under uncultured bacterium. Its description in RNAcentral is "partial 16S ribosomal RNA". It matches the Rfam family "Bacterial small subunit ribosomal RNA", at positions 338 to 795 of the family's 1533-position model. The record is from RNAcentral.
CCUACUGGAGGCAGCAGUGAGGAAUAUUGGUCAAUGGGCGGAAGCCUGAACCAGCCAAGUAGCGUGCAGGAUGACGGCCCUACGGGUUGUAAACUGCUUUUAUACGGGAAUAACGCGCCUUACGUGUAGGGCUUUGCAUGUACCGUAUGAAUAAGGACCGGCUAAUUCCGUGCCAGCAGCCGCGGUAAUACGGAAGGUCCGGGCGUUAUCCGGAUUUAUUGGGUUUAAAGGGAGCGUAGGCCGGAUGUCAAGCGUGCUGUGAAAUGGCCGGGCUCAACCCGGGCCUUGCAGCGCGAACUGGCGUGCUGGAGUCCGCGGAAAGCAGGCGGAAUUCGUGGUGUAGCGGGGAAAUGCUUAGAUAUGACGAAGAACCCCGAUUGCGAAGGCAGCUUGCUGCAGCGGAACUGACGCUGAUGCUCGAAAGCGCGGGUAUCGAACAGGAUUAGAUACCCCAGUAGUC